Molecule: unclassified non-coding RNA, 86 nt
Filed under: Caenorhabditis briggsae
Lineage: Eukaryota; Metazoa; Nematoda; Chromadorea; Rhabditida; Rhabditidae
Description: blCb298 C/D snoRNA
Source: RNAcentral
UUUCUGCAGUGAUGAGAAUCAUGCUAAUCAUGAAGAGGCGCGUCCGUCUCAACCCCAUGUUGUAGAAAAUGAUAUCUGAGCAGAGA